GGCUCAGGGAGGAAUAUUAUCAUGAUGCAUACAUUUAAAUAGUGUGGGUGCUUAUGAUCAUCUAGUUUGACUUUCAGCAUAGCAGUGAUCCCAGAAUGGCAAUCAAUGACCCUUACCUUCCAUUGGAAUCUCUGUGUGAUGUACAUAGAAUUGAUCAGCUGCCCAAUAUUAAAGCUAGGACUUGGUUCGGGGUUGGGAUUUUGGAAUCAAGGUGUCCAAAUCUCUGGUUAUUGAUAAAGUCUGCAGGGCUGCAAUGUUAAGAAGUAGGUGCUAGGUAACUUCCAGAGAGUUUGGCAGAGGGCUGCACUGAAUUUGACUUUGUCUGCCAGGACAUGAUUCCACCACCCAUUUGUGUUCCCAGCUUUGCAUUCUCUAGGACACACAUCAUGACACUGGUGUUGUACUGGUGAGUAAACCCAUCUCAUUGCUCUGGACACUUUGAAAAAAAAAAAAAAAAAGAAUUACGUUUAUUGGUCAAAUGACAGCAUAACUGUGCCAAAGGAAGUGUAGGCCAAACAGUGCUAAAGGGAAAAAAAAUAAGGAGAAGAGGAUAAGAAGUCUGCUCUGAUUGUGCUAGUGGCCAAACUUCUGCUGCUGGUGGAUCCACAAAGGUGGUGCAGACAUACCAGAGGUUGCUGACUAAAGGCCUCAUCGUUGUUCCAAGGAACAGACAAAUCAAAACUGUGUGGAUAGACAGGAUGGUGCUAGUGUAGAGAUGAAUGUGUAUGCUGUACAAUGACAUGACAGCCUGUUUCACUUGACCUGCAAUGCUCACAGAAUAGGAGGUACUGCAAAAACUGGCGAGGGCUGACAUCUCUAUCCUCUGCCAGAUAAAUGAAUAGACAUCCGUGGCCAUUUAAUACUCAGCUAUCUUUUUAGCUUGUAACAUCCUUUAAUGACUUAUUUCCUGUAAUGCUUUUCUCUCUUUUUCCGGUACAAGCUGGAAAAUAUUGACAGCAGGCAGUGGGUCUGCCUGCUUUGUUUGUUCUCUGCUUGCAUGUUGGGGAAAAGGUAAAAGGGCGACAGAACCAUGGAGACUCCCUGGAGGAGGAGGAAGAUGGAUCCUUCCUGGGGAAACAUCUGGGCGCAGCUGGAGCACAACAUUUCCAGAAACCGGAGCAUGGGGGAGAAGAGCAAAGAGUCUCAGGCAGAGACUUUCAAGAGGGGCAGGGAACAUCCACAGAAAAAAGUACUAAUUCUGUGAUGCCCAGCCUGUGGUAUACAGAUGGUGAUAGAUCUGAAUCCAGGAGCUACAUCAUUUAGAAGCUGUGCCUCCCAAAGGCCACUACGAAGUCCACGUAAUAUACAGAGUGAAUGGUAGUCAGACUAAGCACUGACGGGAGAAAUGUCAUGGGAUAUUUCAAAGAAAGGAGUUUAAGAAAUACUGGAAGUACUUUGCUUUGCUUCAAGUACAGAAUUCACAGUUCUCCUUAUGAGGGUACAUCUACAAGGAAAUUACUAAUUUGUGGAUAGUUUUGUGGACACUAAUUUGCAAUCAUCAUUUUGGUGGAAUGUGAAGAGAAGCUUCUGCACCUAUUUCUGUCCUCAAGCCCAACACAUUCCUUUCUUGGAUUCUGGAAAUGGAAACCAUGCUCAUGGCAAUCUAAUUCUCACAUGAAACAUUUCCAUUUUUCAAAAAGGACAAGAUUAGACAGAAUGCGAUCCCUGGUCUCUACAAGACACCAGACAAAGGUUCCAGCUGAACUGUUUUGAACUGAUGAACCAAGGAUGUGGGCUAGUGGGAAUUUCUAGCAGCAUUACCUUGUCUCAUGCUGUCCUCCAUCUUUUACUGCCUGGUCUCCUUUUCAAUACUUGCUCCUCCAUAAUUAUUGUCUGCAGGUGACCACUGGACUUUGAAACUGUAAAGUGCUUUCCAUAUCUUUUUGCUUCUUGUUAUUUUUCCUUUGAAAUCAUAUAGCUUGUUUUCUGUUGCUAAGAUUACAAGUGACAUGACAAGAUGAAAAGGGAAGACAAAACUGAAAGAAUAUGUGGAGCUCUUUAAUUGCUAUAAAGCAUGGCAAAGUAUCUCAGCUCUGCAACUGAAAAGAAAAGAGCUUUUGGAGCUGUUGUACCGAAAAUCUAGUGCAGUGAAUCUAAUAUUGAAAUUAAAAAAAUAUGGCCCUGAAAUGAAAAAAAUAAUUAGAAACAAAAACUAUAAUAAGUGGAAAAAGGAUUAAGCAAAUAUUGAUAUAGAGUAGAAAUUUUGGGCCUUCUCUGGAGAGGAGUCUGGUCUGCUUGCAUCAUAUGUGGGUAAAGAAUUUUGCAGUUUAUUAAUAGUUAGGUCAUAUUGUACAAUAUCAUAAAAUUUAGAAUUUAGUCUGAUUUAAAUUUAUGUACUUGCACCCUAGAGUUCAGCUAGAACUGUCUGAACAGAUAUUUGGUCUUUUCUGUAGAUUUUUAAUAAACCCAGGAAAAAAGUUGCAAGACUUAAAGAAUUUCAAUUUCAUGCAAAUAUUAAAGAAAAAA
Oxyura jamaicensis (ruddy duck) is the source of this 2466-nucleotide long non-coding RNA. RefSeq lists it as uncharacterized. The transcript has 8 exons. The record is from RefSeq and is a predicted model, not a curated record. NCBI's taxonomy places the organism in Eukaryota, Metazoa, Chordata, Aves, Anseriformes, Anatidae.